GCUAUUGGAGUUCGAUUAAGCCAUGCGAGUCGAGAGUCUUAGGGACUCGGCGUACCGCUCAGUAACACGUGGGUAACCUGCCCUAUGCUGGGGAAUAACCUCGGGAAACUGAGAAUAAUGCCCCAUAGUCCACCAUGCCUGGAACGGUUGGUGGAUCAAAGCUCCGGCGGCAUAGGGUGGGCCUGCGGCGUAUCAGGUCGUAGGGGGUGUAACGUACCCCCUAGCCAUCGACGCGUACGGGUGUUGGGAGACAUAGCCCGGAGAUGGAUUCUGAGACACGAAUCCAGACCCUACGGGGUGCAGCAGGCGCGAAAACUUGGCAAUGCGAGAAAUCGUGACCAGGGAACUCCAAGUGGCUGGGGUAAGACCCAGUCUUUUCUUGACUCUUCAGCGGUCUUGGAAUAAGGGGUGGGUAAGGACGGUGCCAGCCGCCGCGGUAAUACCGGCGCCUCAAGUGGUAGUCGAUUUUAUUGGGCCUAAAACGUCCGUAGCCUGUUUGGUACAUUCGUGGGUAAAUCAACCAGCUCAACUGAUUGAAUUCUGCGAGCACGGCCAGACUUGGGACCGGGAGAGGUGUGGGGUACGCUCAGGGUAGGGGUAAAAUCCUGUCAUCCUGAGCGGACCACCUGUUGCGAAGGCGCCACACUAGAACGGAUCCGACGGUCAGGGACGAAGCCUAGGGGCACGAACCGGAUUAGAUACCCGGGUAGUCCUAGGUGUAAACGCUGUGGACUUGGUGUUGGGGACUCUCCGAGAUUCCUCAGUGCCGAAGCGAAGGUGAUAAGUCCACUGCCUGGGGAGUACGGUCGCAAGGCUGAAACUUAAAGGAAUUGGCGGGGGAGCACCGC
RNAcentral lists this ribosomal RNA (848 nucleotides) under uncultured archaeon. Its description in RNAcentral is "bacterial SSU rRNA". It matches the Rfam family "Archaeal small subunit ribosomal RNA", at positions 29 to 882 of the family's 1478-position model. The record is from RNAcentral.